CAUGGUUUUGGAGGGAAACAACAGUACUAAACUAGCCUUCCUGUGCUCCCCUGGGCGAGGAGGAAACUUUGGGGCCGAAGCGAUUGCUGCCGUUUGAAGCCGCCGGGCCCUCAUUCCCAUCGCCGGGCUUCAAAGACGAUCUGGCCACAGAUGCACCGUUAACCUGGAGAUUUAAACAAGGUCUUUGCAAGUUCUUCUCAUAUCUAAAACAUCUAUCAGCAUGUGAUACAUUGCACCAGGGUAUUUGUGACCUUUUCUCUGGAGAUGAAAGCCCCAUCACACGCUUUCAUCUAAAGUAGCUGCGCUCUCAAGAUUUGAAGCCUUGUCGCAUUGUAUUUUUGAGUCUCUGGACAGGGGAGUGACGUCCUAACAUCUCAACUGUAAAGGCAAAUGAAAAUGUCACACAUAGGAACAAUUGCUGUUCAUAAAGUUUUCAUAAAUGUCACUGCUAAGGAAAGAAGAAACUAAUGAUGGACAAUUAACUGACUUGGAUUAAUA
This is a long non-coding RNA of Cyprinus carpio carpio, 498 nucleotides long. Lineage: Eukaryota; Metazoa; Chordata; Actinopteri; Cypriniformes; Cyprinidae. The record is from Ensembl.